RNAcentral lists this signal recognition particle RNA (299 nucleotides) under Propithecus coquereli (Coquerel's sifaka). Its description in RNAcentral is "Metazoan signal recognition particle RNA (ENSPCOG00000005634.1)". It matches the Rfam family "Metazoan signal recognition particle RNA". From Rfam's summary of the family: The signal recognition particle (SRP) is a universally conserved ribonucleoprotein. Lineage: Eukaryota; Metazoa; Chordata; Mammalia; Primates; Indriidae. The record is from RNAcentral.
GCCGGAAGCGGUGGCAUGUGCCUGUAGUCCCAGCCACUCAGGGGGCUGACGUGGGAGGAUCACUUGAGACCAGGAGUUCUGGACUGUAGUGCGCUAUGCCAAUUGGGUGUCCAUGCUAAGUUUGGCAUCAAUAUGGUGACCUCCCGGGAGUGGAGGACCACUAGGUUGCCUGAGGAGGGGUGACCUGGCCCAGAUCGGAAAUGGAGCAGGUCAAAACUCCUGUGCUGAUCAGUAGUGGGAUUGCACCUGUGAAUAGUCACUGCACUCCAGCCUGGGCAACAUAGCAAGACCCCAUCUCU